GACGAACGCUGGCGGCGUGCUUAACACAUGCAAGUCGAACGGAAAUGCCCUGCUUUUGUGGGGUGCUCGAGUGGCGAACGGGUGAGUAACACGUGAGUAACCUUCCCUUGACUUUGGGAUAACUUCAGGAAACUGGGGCUAAUACCGGAUAGGAGCUCCUGCUGCAUGGUGGGGGUUGGAAAGUUUCGGCGGUUGGGGAUGGACUCGCGGCUUAUCAGCUUGUUGGUGGGGUAGUGGCUUACCAAGGCUUUGACGGGUAGCCGGCCUGAGAGGGUGACCGGCCACAUUGGGACUGAGAUACGGCCCAGACUCCUACGGGAGGCAGCAGUGGGGAAUAUUGCACAAUGGGCGGAAGCCUGAUGCAGCAACGCCGCGUGCGGGAUGACGGCCUUCGGGUUGUAAACCGCUUUCGCCUGUGACGAAGCGUGAGUGACGGUAAUGGGUAAAGAAGCACCGGCUAACUACGUG
Molecule: ribosomal RNA, 468 nt
Filed under: uncultured bacterium
Lineage: Bacteria
Description: partial 16S ribosomal RNA
Rfam family: Bacterial small subunit ribosomal RNA
Source: RNAcentral